UUCUUUGUUUAGGAAUUUUUAAGAAAAAGCAAUUGUGUCGCAGAACAAAACGAUGGCUAAAACAGUAAUUUUAAAAAGGCAUACAACACAUAUAAAAUUAUUUUUAAGGUUAAAGAAAGAUUUUUAUAACAGAAUUAAAAUCUUCUAAUUUUAAAGCAAUAUUAGGCGAACCCAAAUACAUGCCAUUGUACAAUGUAGAAUUUAAUGUUAAAUCAUCUCUAUGUUAAAAUAACAAAAUAUAAACAUUGUCAAUUGGAAGAACGAUUCAAAAUAAGCAACUCGACCUAGAUGAAUGAAAUAGUACAAUACAUGCCAUUUUGUUGCUGAAUGAUAAGCUAAGAUUUUGUUGAAUUUUGGCUUAGUUGCAUUCGGAAAUAUAUUUACAACAUUUUGAGCACACCCUCCAAGCACCCAAUUUAUAACCAGACUUUCUUAUCUCAAACCCAAGCCAAAGAUAUUACAUUGUAUUGUGUGUAUAAAAUCCGAAGAAGGGGCAUUUAUUUCGCUAAAGAUGCGCGUGGAAUCGUGAACUACAUGUAAUCUCUUUCCGGUCCGGGGGCCACCUGCCGCUUUCUAGGAUCCCACGAUGAUGUUGUUAAUGGGAAUGUGAAUCAGCUUGACGAAGAAGCCGAUGAAGCCCAUGAUGGCGAAGCCCACGGCGGUGGCGAUGGCGAUUUUCUGGAACUCCUUGCGGUCGGGUUUUGUGCAGCGCUUCACCAGGCGGAUUGAGUC
Non-coding RNA from Drosophila melanogaster (fruit fly), 732 nucleotides. The record is from Ensembl. NCBI's taxonomy places the organism in Eukaryota, Metazoa, Arthropoda, Insecta, Diptera, Drosophilidae.